UCCGAAAUUGAAUCUACCAUUUGAAGUUCAUCUGGUGCCAACAGUGAGUCACUAUUAAAACAUAUAUCAUCUACAAGUAUGAUUUUUGCCAGAUUAACAAAACUCUUCUUGGGGAACAAAUUUAGAUAUAACCAUUUGUAAUCCGGCGAAGUCAUAUGGUAGCACAUUUUUUCGGGAGUACAUUUCGAUAUGGAAUACCUGAUGAUGCAUAAAGCUUUACUGUAUUGUUUUGUCUUAUAGAAAAGCGAUGCUACCAUCAGCCAUCCAGAUACUGCAUCAUGAUACACAUUCUGUAGCAAGGUACUAAGACAGGAUUUGUACUGUUUGUUUACGUUUUUAUUGUUACUGAGUGUACUGUCCUGUG
RNAcentral lists this long non-coding RNA (364 nucleotides) under Mytilus galloprovincialis (Mediterranean mussel). Lineage: Eukaryota; Metazoa; Mollusca; Bivalvia; Mytilida; Mytilidae. The record is from RNAcentral.